UCGGGAAUUUUGCUCAAUGGACGAAAGUCUGAAGCAGCAACGCCGCGUGAGGGAUGAAGGCCUUCGGGUUGUAAACCUCUUUUAUCAGGGACGAUUAUGACGGUACCUGAUGAAUAAGCCACGGCUAACUACGUGCCAGCAGCCGCGGUAAUACGUAGGUGGCAAGCGUUGUCCGGAUUUACUGGGCGUAAAGAGCGCGCAGGCGGUCGUUUAAGUCGAAUGUGAAAGCCCCCGGCUCAACUGGGGAGGGUCAUUCGAUACUGAUCGACUUGAAGGCAGGAGAGGGUAGUGGAAUUCCCGGUGUAGUGGUGAAAUGCGUAGAUAUCGGGAGGAACACCAGUGGCGAAGGCGACUACCUGGCCUGUUCUUGACGCUGAGGCGCGAAAGCUGGGGGAGCAAACGG
Molecule: ribosomal RNA, 403 nt
Filed under: uncultured bacterium
Lineage: Bacteria
Description: bacterial SSU rRNA
Rfam family: Bacterial small subunit ribosomal RNA
Source: RNAcentral